This 137-nucleotide small RNA is filed under the name Sedimenticola sp. RNAcentral describes it as "RtT sRNA". It matches the Rfam family "RtT RNA". From Rfam's summary of the family: This family represents a bacterial cis-regulatory element known as RtT RNA. The exact function of RtT is unknown although it is thought that it may be involved in changing the cellular response in relation to amino acid starvation. Lineage: Bacteria; Pseudomonadati; Pseudomonadota; Gammaproteobacteria; Chromatiales; Sedimenticolaceae. The record is from RNAcentral.
CUGCGGAUUGGCUAGGGGAGGAUGAGAACCGAAAGAGGUUCGACGAAGGCGCGAAAGCGCCGGAGAACGCCGCGCAGGGCGCGGUGGCCCGGAGGGCGGAAUGCCGCAGGCAUGGAGUAAUCCUCCCCCCCCCUCCA